This 1014-nucleotide long non-coding RNA is filed under the name Melopsittacus undulatus (budgerigar). RNAcentral describes it as "lncRNA (ENSMUNG00000021434.1)". Lineage: Eukaryota; Metazoa; Chordata; Aves; Psittaciformes; Psittaculidae. The record is from RNAcentral.
AGAGCCGGGGUCUGGAAGCAGGGCAGGAAUGAGCGAGGGUGGUAAAAUUAAACUUCACUUUGUUAACUAAUGGCUGGGGAGUGCUGGGCGUCAGCCGUGACAUGCGUGUGCUGUGGCGCCAGCAGUGCCUGGAAAGACAGUGUAAACUGUGUUUUUCAUCUCCUUGGAGAGCUUGGACAUAGUGUAGUCUAGGGCAUUAUCUGUUGCUUUCCAAGCUCUCAGAAAGCUGUCAUUUCAACACUCCCUGUUUUUUAAAAGGUUUUUUUUUUUUUUUUUUUUUUUUUUUUUUUUUGUGUUCCCUUGUCUAUCUUUUCAAGGGCCUUUACAGGGAAGAGGCUGAUUGUAGAAGAGGAAAAGGCUGCCAGACACACUAGGUCAACAGUGAAAAGAGAUUGCAUACCACAUUCUGGAACCAAAUUUAGAGUGAAUGAUAUGCAAAUUUUAAAGAUUGAACCCAGCAGUUCUGAUUUCUCCCAGGAACAAAGGAACAAGUGCUUCUUUAUCCUAGAAACAAAAAUAAUCUCUGCUGCGUUUUUACCAUCUCCCCAAAUGAAGAAAGUGGAUGAGGAUUAAGCCCUGAUCUACCUCUCUGAUGUUGGAUUUCCCCAUCAACUGUCUUGAUCCCACACCAAGCAACCUAGCUGAAAAAAAAUCACAGAUGAGGGAUAUUUAAAAGAGCCUUGGCUAUUAUUAUUUAGCCAAUCUUAAUCUAUCCAUUGCUGCUAAAUCACCUAUUUUGACAAAUGGGGAAUAUCCACUACAGAAAUAGUCUAACUGUAUACUGACAUACGAUUCCUUUUUUUUCUCCCAUUAGUAUCUUCUGUGGUGUGCCUGUGAAUUGUGAAUAUGGAAUCUGUUUAUUCAAAAGGAUUCAUAUGGUCAAGUUUUCUGUCUGUUUACUUGCUUAAAUAAAUGUUCUCAAUUUAACACAACAAUUUGUAAUGAGUACUGUGAAACAAAGUUAAAAGAAUGAGUUCUUGAAAUAGAAAUUGUAAUAAAAUGCUUUUCUCCUCU